RNAcentral lists this microRNA precursor (180 nucleotides) under Oryza rufipogon (brownbeard rice). Its description in RNAcentral is "MIR812 microRNA precursor family". It matches the Rfam family "MIR812 microRNA precursor family". Lineage: Eukaryota; Viridiplantae; Streptophyta; Magnoliopsida; Poales; Poaceae. The record is from Rfam by way of RNAcentral.
UUUAAGUGCAACUAUAAAUUUUCGUACCUAAUUUUGAUCGUUCGUCUUAUUUAAAAUAUUUUAUAAUUAGUACUUUUAGUGUUAUGAAAUGAUAAAGCAUGAAUAGUGCUUCAUGUAUGACUUAUAUUUUUAAAUAAUACGGACGAUCAAAAUUUACGAAAAAUCAUGGUUGUACUUUAA